RNAcentral lists this unclassified non-coding RNA (484 nucleotides) under uncultured Glomus. Its description in RNAcentral is "SSU rRNA". It matches the Rfam family "Eukaryotic small subunit ribosomal RNA", at positions 569 to 1052 of the family's 1831-position model. The record is from RNAcentral. Lineage: Eukaryota; Fungi; Glomeromycota; Glomeromycetes; Glomerales; Glomeraceae.
AGCAGCCGCGGUAAUUCCAGCUCCAAUAGCGUAUAUUAAAGUUGUUGCAGUUAAAAAGCUCGUAGUUGAAUUUCGGGAUUGACGUGAUGGUCGUGCCUUAAGGGGUAUGAACUGUUGCUGUUGAUUUCUCACCUUCUGGAGAAACUUGAUGUCCUUAAUUGGGUGUCUUGCGGAUCCAGGACCUUUACCUUGAAAAAUUAGAGUGUUUAAAGCAGGCAUUUUGCUCGAAUACAUUAGCAUGGAAUAAUAGAAUAGGACGGCAUGGUUCUAUUUUGUUGGUUUCUAGGAUCACCGUAAUGAUUAAUAGGGAUAGUUGGGGGCAUUAGUAUUCAAUUGUCAGAGGUGAAAUUCUUGGAUUUAUUGAAGACUAACUACUGCGAAAGCAUUUGCCAAGGAUGUUUUCAUUAAUCAAGAACGAAAGUUAGGGGAUCGAAGACGAUCAGAUACCGUCGUAGUCUUAACCAUAAACUAUGCCGACUAGGAA